Molecule: transfer RNA, 73 nt
Filed under: Xenos vesparum
Lineage: Eukaryota; Metazoa; Arthropoda; Insecta; Strepsiptera; Xenidae
Description: tRNA-Ser
Source: RNAcentral
UUAUAAGAAAUUAUAAAAAAAUUAUAUUUCUAAGCUAAUUAAAAUUCAAUAAACCAUUAUUUCAUCUGUAGAA